GAUGAACGCUGGCGGCGUGCCUAAUACAUGCAAGUCGAGCGAACGGACUAGAAGCUUGCUUCUCUGAUGUUAGCGGCGGACGGGUGAGUAACACGUGGAUAACCUACCUAUCAUACUGGGAUAACUUCGGGAAACCGGAGCUCAUACCGGAUAAUAUUUUGAACCGUAUGGUUCAACAGUGAAAUACGGUCUUGCUGUUUCUUAUAGAUUGAUCCUCGCUGCAUUAGCUAGCUGGUAAGGUAACGGCUUACCAAGGCAACGAUGCAUAGCCGACCUGAGAGGGUGAUCAGCCACACUGGAACAGAGACAAGGUACGGACUCCUAAGGGAGGCAGCAGUAGGGAAUCAUGCGAAGUGGGCGCACGCCUGACCGAGCAACGACGCGUGAGUGAUGACGGUCUCCGAGGCGGAGAACACUGUUAUUAGGGAAGAAAAUAUGUGUAACUAACUGUGCAGAUAUUGCAGGCACCUGAAGAAGAAGCAACGCCUAACUACGUG
This 497-nucleotide ribosomal RNA is filed under the name uncultured bacterium. Its description in RNAcentral is "partial 16S ribosomal RNA". It matches the Rfam family "Bacterial small subunit ribosomal RNA", at positions 28 to 507 of the family's 1533-position model. The record is from RNAcentral.